GUACCGGCACACAUAUCACAAUAGCCUUCCAUCUUUUUUUCUUCUCAAUGGAAGCUCAAUGAAAUAAGAAAGAAAAUCUCAUUUCUUGGUCCAUACACCAGCUACCUUUGUAGUGAAUAUAUAUAUAUAUAUUGACCAGAAAUGAAAGGGUAACGAACAUAUGUACAGAAGACUGUUUUGAAAGGGUCACAUAUACGGUGCCCAGCCCAGGUACAUCUGGCUCAGAAGGUUCUCGUCAGUAGCUUCUUGGAUCAGGUAGUGAACGUGUCCUUCAAUGGACAGCGGGAGUCCUUUCACACGAUUCCGAGUCUUAAUUACUCCCUGUAAGCGCUGUUCUAUGUCCAGCACAUGUGUUUUAGCCUGCAGAUGGGGAAAAAAAAGCAUUUAAAAUAUUCCACACGUUUCUAGAGAGACUGAUUUAUCUGUCAUACGAUUCCUUCUAAUGUAAUAUCACAAUAGCUUCUACCUCAAUAAAAGUUUCUGCACGA
Spea bombifrons (plains spadefoot toad) is the source of this 488-nucleotide long non-coding RNA. RefSeq lists it as uncharacterized. NCBI's taxonomy places the organism in Eukaryota, Metazoa, Chordata, Amphibia, Anura, Pelobatidae. The transcript has 2 exons. The record is from RefSeq and is a predicted model, not a curated record.